UGGCGUGUGCCUGUAAUCCCAGCUACUCCGGAGGCUGAGGCACAAGAAUCACUUGAAUCCAAGUGGAUCACUUAAGGUGAAGAGUUCGAGACCAGCCUGGCCAACGUGGUGAAACCUCGUCUCUACUACAAAUACAAAAAUAAGCCAGGCAUGGUGGUGCACGCCUAUAAUCCCAGCUACUCAGGAGGCUGAGGCACAAGAAUCGCUUGAACCCGGGAGGCAGAGGUUGCAGUGAGACAAGAUGGCACCACUGCACUCCAGCCUGGGCGACAGAGCAAGACUCUGUCUCCAAAAAAAAAAGUUGUGGCACUGAGGCAUCAACUUGAUUGAACCUCUAGAGGAUUAUAGUCUGAUGGAUAUGGCCAUCCUUGGUUUUACCAGUUUUUCAGAGCUCAGUCUGGGGGAAAGAAAAAAAAAAAAUUAUACUUCCCCACUUCCCCUAAGAAGUAACUGAUAUCUGGAGCCAACUUUGCAAGAUGGGAAGCACAAAAUGCAAGAGGAAAAGGUUAAACUAAAAAAGCCCCUGGAAGAAAGCCACAGGCUGCAACCCCACCCUAUGGAUGAACAGGAUCAGCUGCUGCUCUCUGAAAAGCCACAGGUGUGUCAGCUAUGCCAGGAAGAUGGCAGCCUAACAAAGAAUGUGUGUAAGAACUGCAGAGGAACCUUCUGUGAUGCCUGUUCAACAAAUGAACUGCCUCUUCCUUCAAGUAUCAAGCUUGAGCGAGUUUGCAAUCCCUGUCACAAGCAUCUGAUGAAGCAAUAUUUUACCAGCCCAUCAUAAGACUGGAGGCCAAGACCUAGACCAAAACGUUUACGCAGGCUCCUCUGUACCUGUGUUUUAGCUGUCAGGAUCUCAUAGAGCCCAGUUCU
Molecule: small RNA, 870 nt
Filed under: Pongo abelii (Sumatran orangutan)
Lineage: Eukaryota; Metazoa; Chordata; Mammalia; Primates; Hominidae
Description: processed transcript
Source: RNAcentral